RNAcentral lists this long non-coding RNA (802 nucleotides) under Numida meleagris (helmeted guineafowl). Its description in RNAcentral is "lncRNA (ENSNMEG00000020093.1)". The record is from RNAcentral. Lineage: Eukaryota; Metazoa; Chordata; Aves; Galliformes; Numididae.
CUUUGCAAUAGUUGGGAUGCACAUGUUCAGUUUUUCUUAUCAGGCACAAGUUCAUGAAAUUGUUCACAAACACGCAUGUUACUUUUUGCAAGGCACAGCUGCCAACGGUUAGGUCAGGAAACGUGUGGGAUUUGCCAUCCUCUGCAAGUAGCAUUUCUUGUUCACCAAGCCCAGAGCUAAUGAUGGCACCGACUGAAGGAGGAAUAAUGAGGACUGUUUUGUACAGCUGAACAUCAGAGUCAAAAGGUAGAAAUGUGUGUGGGAGGGAUAUGACUUCUGUGUUUACAAACUGUAUUAGUGUAUUCUGUACUUACGAGCUAUAGUUCCUACAUGAACUAUAUAUUCUGAAUUGAGAAUACCAAUUCUGUAAAACUAGAUCCAAAUCUGUGUUUGGGAACACUACUGUAAGUUCUGGGCAGUAGAGAAAAGGGGAUUGUGACAGCAUCUGGUGCCAGACUCGAGAGAUGUGCUGCUCUGUUCCUCCAAUGCUAGCAGAGUUAUCAGCUUUCUUGUGAGCAAGAUGCCUGUCUCCCCAUUAUUUUUUUUCCAUAGAAAUGCACAAUUCCCUGUUGACACUAUGGAAGAACUAACUUAGAGGACAUUUGUGCCACAGUCACAGAAAUUAUGAGAAUAUGAGUGUCAGCUGAAAAACUGAGCUCUGCUUACAAAUAGAAAACAUCACAAAUUCAGGCAUCCUCUUUUGCCUGAGCUUUUCGUUGAGGUUCAUUGAGGUCUGUGAUGUUCUAAAGUGAAGGGCUGGGCUGGUUACUCUUGUGAGGUGUGGCUGAAGUCCUGAUGUGCU